CUAUACAUGCAAGUCGAGCGAAUGGAUUAAGAGCUUGCUCUUAUGAAGUUAGCGGCGGACGGGUGAGUAACACGUGGGUAACCUGCCCAUAAGACUGGGAUAACUCCGGGAAACCGGGGCUAAUACCGGAUAACAUUUUGAACCGCAUGGUUCGAAAUUGAAAGGCGGCUUCGGCUGUCACUUAUGGAUGGACCCGCGUCGCAUUAGCUAGUUGGUGAGGUAACGGCUCACCAAGGCAACGAUGCGUAGCCGACCUGAGAGGGUGAUCGGCCACACUGGGACUGAGACACGGCCCAGACUCCUACGGGAGGCAGCAGUAGGGAAUCUUCCGCAAUGGACGAAAGUCUGACGGAGCAACGCCGCGUGAGUGAUGAAGGCUUUCGGGUCGUAAAACUCUGUUGUUAGGGAAGAACAAGUGCUAGUUGAAUAAGCUGGCACCUUGACGGUACCUAACCAGAAAGCCACGGCUAACUACGUGCCAGCAGCGGCCGGUAAUAAA
RNAcentral lists this ribosomal RNA (499 nucleotides) under Bacillus paramycoides. RNAcentral's name for it is "bacterial SSU rRNA". It matches the Rfam family "Bacterial small subunit ribosomal RNA", at positions 49 to 527 of the family's 1533-position model. Lineage: Bacteria; Bacillati; Bacillota; Bacilli; Caryophanales; Bacillaceae. The record is from RNAcentral.